RNAcentral lists this ribosomal RNA (1444 nucleotides) under metagenome. Its description in RNAcentral is "bacterial LSU rRNA". It matches the Rfam family "Bacterial large subunit ribosomal RNA", at positions 793 to 2240 of the family's 2925-position model. The record is from RNAcentral.
AAAACUAGCGGAUGAGCUGUGGAUAGGGGUGAAAGGCUAAACAAACUUGGAAAUAGCUGGUUCUCUCCGAAAACUAUUUAGGUAGUGCCUCAAGUAUUACCGUCGGGGGUAGAGCACUGUUUUGGCUAGGGGGUCAUGGCGACUUACCAAACCAAUGCAAACUCCGAAUACCGACGAGUACAGCUUGGGAGACAGAGCACCGGGUGCUAACGUCCGGACUCAAGAGGGAAACAACCCAGACCGCCAGCUAAGGUCCCUAAAAUUGGCUAAGUGGGAAACGAAGUGGGAAGGCUAAAACAGUCAGGAUGUUGGCUUAGAAGCAGCCAUCAUUUAAAGAAAGCGUAAUAGCUCACUGAUCGAGUCGUCCUGCGCGGAAGAUGUAACGGGGCUAAGCCAGUUACCGAAGCUGCGGAUUUGCACGCAAGUGCAAGUGGUAGGAGAGCGUUCUGUAAGCCUGUGAAGGUAGCUUGUAAAGGCUGCUGGAGGUAUCAGAAGUGCGAAUGCUGACAUGAGUAGCGUUAAAGGGGGUGAAAAGCCCCCUCGCCGUAAGCGCAAGGUUUUCUACGCAACGUUCAUCGGCGUAGAGUGAGUCGGCCCCUAAGGCGAGGCAGAGAUGCGUAGCUGAUGGGAAACAGGUCAAUAUUCCUGUACCGAUGUGUAGUGCGAUGUGGGGACGGAUCUUAAUAAGUCAUCCGGGUGUUGGAUAUCCCGGUUUAGCUGGAUGUAGGCGAUGGGUAGGCAAAUCCGCCCGUCAUAUACCGAGGCCAGAGAUCGAGCAAGCUUGCUUGUGAAGUGACCGAACGAGGUUCCAGGAAAAGCCACUAAGCUUCAGCUGCACACGACCGUACCGCAAACCGACACUGGUGCGCGAGAUGAGUAUUCUAAGGCGCUUGAGAGAACUCGGGAGAAGGAACUCGGCAAAUUGACACCGUAACUUCGGAAGAAGGUGUGCCCUAUUAGUGUGAAGCGAACAGCGGAGCAUGAAUGGGUUGCAAAGAAUCGGUGGCUGCGACUGUUUAUUAAAAACACAGCACUCUGCAAACACGAAAGUGGACGUAUAGGGUGUGACGCCUGCCCGGUGCUGGAAGAUUAAAUGAUGGGGUGCAAGCUCUUGAUUGAAGUCCCAGUAAACGGCGGCCGUAACAAUAACGGUCCUAAGGUAGCGAAAUUCCUUGUCGGGUAAGUUCCGACCUGCACGAAUGGCGUAACGAUGGCCACACUGUCUCCUCCCGAGACUCAGCGAAGUUGAAAUGUUUGUGAUGAUGCAAUCUCCCCGCGGAAAGACGGAAAGACCCCAUGAACCUUUACUGUAGCUUUGUAUUGGACUUUGAACAGAUCUGUGUAGGAUAGGUGGGAGGCUUUGAAGCAGGGUCGCUAGAUCUUGUGGAGCCAACGUUGAAAUACCACCCUGGUGUGUUUGAGGUUCUAACCUAGGUCCAGUAAG